AACGAACGCUGGCGGCAUGUUUAACACAUGCAAGUCGAACGAGACCUUCGGGUCUAGUGGCGCACGGGUGCGUAACGCGUGGGAAUCUGCCCUUAGGUACGGAAUAACUCAGAGAAAUUUGUGCUAAUACCGUAUGAUGUCGAAAGACCAAAGAUUUAUCGCCUAAGGAUGAGCCCGCGUAAGAUUAGCUAGUUGGUAAGGUAAAAGCUUACCAAGGCGACGAUCUUUAGCUGGUCUGAGAGGAUGAUCAGCCACACUGGGACUGAGACACGGCCCAGACUCCUACGGGAGGCAGCAGUGGGGAAUAUUGGACAAUGGGCGAAAGCCUGAUCCAGCAAUGCCGCGUGAGUGAUGAAGGCCUUAGGGUUGUAAAGCUCUUUUACCAGGGAUGAUAAUGACAGUACCUGGAGAAUAA
RNAcentral lists this ribosomal RNA (415 nucleotides) under uncultured bacterium. RNAcentral describes it as "bacterial SSU rRNA". It matches the Rfam family "Bacterial small subunit ribosomal RNA", at positions 29 to 489 of the family's 1533-position model. The record is from RNAcentral.